Molecule: long non-coding RNA, 1285 nt
Organism: Pectinophora gossypiella (pink bollworm)
Lineage: Eukaryota; Metazoa; Arthropoda; Insecta; Lepidoptera; Gelechiidae
Exons: 5
Source: RefSeq, a predicted model, not a curated record
UACAUAUGAUGUAGUAGUAAGUACUUAAUAAAUAAAUAGAUUCCCUUUGGAGACAUUGUCGAAAUCAUUUUGUGAGACUGUCCUUUGUUUGGUAAGGACUUUGUAGGCUUGAAUCACUUGAUUAUCCGAAAAAUUAAGAUGAUUCCGUGCUUCAGAGGACAAGUUAAGCCGUAAGCCGUAAAAGACACAUCCACUGACCCGCAGUGGAGCAGAGUAGUGGAGUAUGCUUCGUAGCUCCUCCGGUAGAUUGAGGGGAAGCCUGUGCCCAGAAAUGGGAAGUAUAUAGGCUGUUAAAGUUAUGUUAUAUACCAUUGGGUUGCAAUUUCAACAUGGAUAUGAUACAUAAUUAUUGUGGAUAGAUACUCGUACAACGCUUAUGACCUAUGACAAGGCCUCGUACCUUCUUAUCGCAUAUAACCAAUAACAUUAAUCACAAUAUUUAUUAAAUUUCGAUUCCCGGUAAGUAAUGCAUAGGGCUUGCAGAAAAGAUUAGUUUACAAACUGCACUUGUGAUGUUUAGAAUAUAAUAAUAUGAUAAGUAUCAUUCGUUUCGGGCACCAAGUAAAAAGUGCCGGGCCGAAGAAAGCUACAAGCCGCUCGAACUUUCAAAAUUUUAAAUUAGGUAGGGCACUAAACUUCGAAGGAAUUUGUAAUAAAUAAUUUCUUAUUAUUCUAUUAUUAUUUUAUUCUAUUAUAAGUAAUAGUAUCUACGGCAACCCUGCCUUUUACACACUCUAGUUCCUGACCAUUUUAGCAAAUUAUUGUUGUUUUCUUCUUUAUAUAGUAAACUGUUGCACUGCAUAUGUGUUUAUACGUGUUUUAUUUAUAACGUCAUGACUAUUAAGGUAAAUUAGAAACUUAAUAUUAUUGUUUGCGCUCACUUGUCGAAACAUACUUACGUACCUAUUAUAAAAAUGAGUGUUACGUCUCUGUGCCUAGUGAUGAUUGGAAUAACUUGCUUUUUUCAUCAUCAAGUGACUGCUAUAUUAGCCGAGGAGGAUUGCAAACAACAGACCAACAAAAUAAACUUAAACUUAGUCCAAGCAGUAAAAGACAACAGAAGAGAUCUUUUCAGAAGAAACUGCGAGGCCUUCCGAUAUCUUAUAGAACAAUGUGUUAAGAGUUACUUCAGCUCUACUUCCAUUAAGCUAGAUUAUGAAGAAAGUUGUCUAAACGAAGAGUCCCAAAAAUGGUUGAAGUCAAGAGGGACAUCGGUACGAGGAGGGUUACUAACAGGGACCCUUACUAUUCUAGCUGUUAUGUCAAGGCUUUAUAUAAAAUAAAA